AUGCUCGCUUGAGCAGCACAUAUACUAAAAUUGGAACUAUACAGAGAAGAUUAACAUGGCCCCUGUGCAAGGAUGACACGCAAAUCUGUGAAGGAUUCCUUUUUUCC
Small nuclear RNA from Jaculus jaculus (lesser Egyptian jerboa), 107 nucleotides. Lineage: Eukaryota; Metazoa; Chordata; Mammalia; Rodentia; Dipodidae. The record is from Ensembl.